RNAcentral lists this ribosomal RNA (376 nucleotides) under uncultured bacterium. Its description in RNAcentral is "bacterial SSU rRNA". It matches the Rfam family "Bacterial small subunit ribosomal RNA", at positions 524 to 898 of the family's 1533-position model. The record is from RNAcentral.
UACGUAGGUGGCAAGCGUUGUCCGGAUUUACUGGGUGUAAAGGGCGUGUAGACGGGACUUAAAGUCAGAUGUGAAAUACCGCAGCUUAACUGCGGGGCUGCAUUUGAAACUUAAGUUCUUGAGUGCAGGAGAGGAAAGCGGAAUUCCUAGUGUAGCGGUGAAAUGCGUAGAUAUUAGGAGGAACACCGGUGGCGAAGGCGGCUUUCUGGACUGUAACUGACGUUGAGGCGCGAAAGCGUGGGUAGCAAACAGGAUUAGAUACCCUGGUAGUCCACGCUGUAAACGAUGGAUACUAGGUGUGGGGGGUAUCGACCCCUUCCGUGCCGGAGUUAACACAAUAAGUAUCCCACCUGGGGAGUACGGCCGCAAGGUUGAA